This is a long non-coding RNA of Mesocricetus auratus (golden hamster), 1954 nucleotides long. RefSeq lists it as uncharacterized. The transcript has 3 exons. Lineage: Eukaryota; Metazoa; Chordata; Mammalia; Rodentia; Cricetidae. The record is from RefSeq and is a predicted model, not a curated record.
GAUGUUUGAUCUUAACAGACCUCUUCUCCUGGACCUUCCUCCCUCCCCAAUGACUGAAGCAUCUGCGAUGUAGAACGGCCAGGAUGAGGGAAGUGACAGCGAAUGUGGCAGGGUUCCUUCAGAGUCCUUAAUUCUGAACUCCUGCGAGGCUGCUGCCAAUCCACUCUACCAAGGACCUCUCAUCCUGAAGUCCCCACUGUUGACAAAGGCUGAUACAUGCAUCACUCCCGGAGUUUGGAGGACCAAGAAGGAGCCCUGAAGAGGCAAUGGGAAGUACCCUGUCUAGGAGAAAAGGGUGCAAUUGAAGGAGUGAAGUCUCUUUAUUUUCUCCCUCUUGGCAGUUGAAAUUAAAUAAAAAUUGAGCCAGCAGCCCUACUUUAAAUGGGUUUCAAUUCUCUUUUUCCCUCUUAGUCCUAUUUCCCCCGUGUCCUCAUCCACGUCAGAAGGCAGCCCAAGUGUCUGGAAUCUUGAGACAAAUCAUAAUUGGUAGUUGAAGUAAGGGCUUGAAGUACUCCUUCCACUCCCGGGUCUCCCACACAGCCAGCGAGAUGUGAAGCUGGACGGUGGAGUCUGAGAGCCACGUGUGGUGUGCAGCAAGCCUGUUGAGUGGGGGUUCCUACCGCAGUGGAGUUCACUGGCUCCAGGGCUCCCACCGAGGUCAGUGCUGGGCACUGACACCUGCUUUCUUUUCCCAGUGGCGGAGCGGGACAGCAAAGCUUUUGACAAAGCUGGACGCAACUCCUCACUUUACCUGCCCAAGGACCCCACCUGGAAGUGUCUUUGUGCCAGCUAGAGCUGUGUGUUGGAGCAAAAGCUAAAAAAAAGAGGGGGGGGGGUUCUUCCUGCCCGUGCAGUUUGCUGGAUUUUUGUUGAGUGUUUAAUCUCUGACAGUCACUUGGAGUCCCUCUUACUAACAUGCUGGAGCUAAAGCCAGCAAGAAGCACUUCUCUGAAAUUUAGAGCAAGUUUUUUUUUUCCCCCAGCUUUGGCUCCUGUUUGCUCCUCAAAGUCUGUGUAUGAUAUGUGUUGGGCAGUGUCUUCGCCUUGUCAGUGUCUGGGAGGCUUUGAUGUAUUGACAGGGUCUCCUUUCAGGCCCCCCCCCACCCCCUCCCCCGGGGAGUUUCUUUUGUUUCUUCAUCUACUAAAUUUGUUUCUUUCUUCUCUUUUUCUUUUUACCAUGGCUGUAAGUGAGUGAGACACAAAGUUGUGGCUUCCACACCUUGGUGAGCAGGCAUGGAAUCGAAAUGUUUCUGAAUGUUUCACCCGCGGACCACCCAGGAACCGCAGCAGGGAAGAAAGCAGUGAGAACCAGGAACACGUGGGGCGGCAGAACUGUGUUCACAGAAUCCCCGGAUGUUCUUCUCAAGAUUCCAUUUGUCCUAAACUGAGAAAAAAGGAGAAAUUCCUACUGCACACAGAAGAAAAGCAGUUUUUAAAGUCAAAUAAAAAAGAGGUAGGUUGACCAGCUGGCAUACUACAUUAUCUGUUUUUGAAGCUAUUGUCUAGAGCAGGGCUCCAUACAAUGGUUACCAUAAAGAGUCAGAAAGUAAAUAACUAGUUCGGCGGGCCAUAUGGUAUCUGUGACAAGUCUUUAUUGUUCCCAUUCAAAAGAAAGCAGCCAUACGUAAUGUGGAACUGGCUAGUACUAGUUCAGUAAAACAGAUGGACGGUGACUUUGAGCAAGUUCUGGUCCAGAGAGACUGUAGAGUCCUAUCGAUCAUGUCUCCAUCCUGGAUCAAGCUACUUUUUUUUUUCUUAAGUGCAUAACUGGAUUUUUCUGGUUAGCAUCCUGCUUCCAUUCUUGCUACACUUUGAUCCAUUCUUCCAUAGCAAGAUGAAUUUUAAAACAAAAUAUAUCAGCCCCAUUCCAACCCCCUAUUAAGUUUCCAUCUCACAAAGGUCUGUGUAUUCUGUCCUCGAAAUCAACCCUGUUCUAUCCCCUCCCUUCAUCUGCA